GGGCCUGUAGCUCAAUUGGGAGAGCAUUUGGUUUGCAAUCAAAAGGCAGUCAGUUCGAAUCUGGCCAGGUCCA
Non-coding RNA from Styela clava, 73 nucleotides. The record is from the annotation of a RefSeq genome assembly. NCBI's taxonomy places the organism in Eukaryota, Metazoa, Chordata, Ascidiacea, Stolidobranchia, Styelidae.